UAAAUAUCAGCAGAUGACCUUGCCAAGCCAUCAACUAAGUAUAUAAUUAACUUCAAAAGAUUUGUAUCAGAUAUCUUUUAUUUUUUGUUUGUUUUCCUCCAUUAACUUUGUUAUUUCUUCACCUUACAUCCUGAUCACAGCUCCCCUCUCCUCCCAGACCCUUUGUGCACAGCUCCUCCCACUAGUGCUCUCCUCUGAGAAAGGGGAAGCCCCCCUGGUAUCAACCCACCCUAGCAGAUCAAGUCACUGCAGGACCUGGCAUAUCCUCUCCCACAGUGGCCAGACAAGGCAACCCAGUUAGGAGAACAGAUCCACAGGCAGGCAAUGAAGACAGGGAUAGCCCCCCCUGCUCCAGUUCUUGGGGGACCCCAGUGAAGACCAAGCUGCACAUCUGCUACAUAUGGGUAGGGUAGGGGUAAGUCCAGCCCUGUAUACUCUUUGGUUGAUGUGUUUGUUUCUUUGAGGCAGGAUUUCAUUGUGUAGUUCUGACUGUUCUCGAACUCUCUCUCUAGACCAGUCUGGCCUCCAACACUCACAGCCUCCUAAGUGCUGGGAUCAAAGGCGUGCAUUCACAUCACCACCACCACCCUAUUUUUUUUCAAUGCUUGUGUGCCAAACACAAGGUAUCACACAUACCAAGCCACACCUUCAUUUUCUUUCAAGAUUUAUUUUUAUUUUUAUUUUAUUUAUUUAUUUAUUUAUUUAUUUAUUUGGUUCUUUUUUUCGGAGCUGGGGACCGAACCCAGGGCCUUGCACUUCCUAGGCAAGCUCUCUACCACUGAGCUAAAUCCCCAACCCCCUUAUUUUUAAUUUUAAUUACGUGUAUGUCCCUGUGUCUGUAUGUGGGUAUGUGAAUAAACAAGUUCAGAUACUAGGAAGCCAGAAAGCAUCGAGUUCCCCUGGUGUUAAAGGAUCUGUGAGCCAUCUGACGAACACCGAGAACCAAACUUGGGACUUCUGCAAGAGAAGCGAGGGCUCUUCACCCUGAGCCAUCUCCUUAGCCAAAGCUACGGCUUUUCAGAUUGUAUAUCCCAACUUCAUAUAGGGUAUCAUGACUGAAUGUGAGGGCUGUGAAAAUUUGACGACAGUCACAGGUUUUUAAACACACAACGACUGGAUGUGAAUUCAAACUCAUGUGGGUAAGGGGUCUGAGGUGUUCAUGGCAAAGCCCACUGGUGCUGCAUGCAAGGUGGGAGGAGAAAGACCACCGACCUAAAUCAUCAUGGCCGAAUUAAUUAAGGCAAGCACUCUUUAUUCCUCUACAUGGGCUGUCUCCUGCUAAGGUGGGGUUUGAGAGGUCAGCGUUGGAUGUGAGGAAGACAGGCUUUUAUAGCUCAGGGGUAGGGGAUUUCCAGAUGGGGGAUUUGGCUGGUGAAAUAGGCAGGGUUACAGGAGCAGAAUCGUAAGUGUAACAAGUUGGUCUCUCCAAGAUGGACAUAAUAAGGUCAUCAUAACAACAGGUAGCCAUAACAACGGGUUGUCAUAACAACAGGUUGUCAUAACAAAAGGUAGUCAUAACGAGGAGGUCAUAGGUGGUCAUAUAACAUUUUGAAACAGAGCUAGGGUUGCAAGAUGGUUGUACAAGCAAAACCUUUUUGAAACAAAGACAUGGUGACCAUUUCUGGGCCAGGCAGUAUAGAACCAUCCAUAAUUCAGGGUACAGGUGGUGAAUAGUCAGAUACUUGUGAAACAGAGGUUUAGUCUUAAACAGGAAGGAGCCUAGUUUGUCAGUACUGUAAGGCUAAGACAGAAGCUGGCUGGUUUCUCCAUCACAUGUAUACAUUGUGUCCUGUGUGCAUGCACUCAGAUCCAUUAAAUAAAGAAAUGUAAAAUAGACAAAUAGAUUAGUGCCGAGCAGAGCAGCAGACAACAGUUUUGACCCUUCCUGUACAUGCAAACAUUUCCGAUGGCACAGUCUGUUGAAGACCAUUCCCUUCUCGCUCUCCCCCACGCCUAUUGCCCUGAGCUUUAAGGAGCCCACACCCACUCCUCUCAGUAUUGCCACUUUGUUGCCUUUGUCCCUGUCUCCAAGGCCUCUAGAACUUUUCUUGUUUUCUCUCUGUCUUUCCUCCUCCUGCCUUUUCUCCACAUCCUUCCUAAGCUUCCUCUUUGCUUUGAACUCAGAAUCCCCCUGCCUGUGCUUUAAUGUUGUCGGUCAUGUGCUUUCCCCAGGAGUCUGGCAGAGACGUCAGUUACUGUGGGAGGCAUGGAGGUCUUUGUGCUUCCUGAUAAGCACCAGGAGAACCUGAAUUGCUAGCGCUCAAGUGGAGGUGUGGGGGGUGUUCAUUCUAGAAAAGAAAUUAAUAACCCGUUAUCUGUCAAGAAGGCUUGGAGCAGUUGUGCAUUCCAGCCUGGUGAACUUCCUGCUAUCUAUGUUUUGGGGGCUACACUGGCCCCUCUUCCCCUAGACCCUUAUUAUAAACUUCUUUUUUCUCCAUCAAUCUAUAAAACUGUAGAACCUACCUUUUUUAAAAACUUAUUCAGGGGUUAGGGAUUUAGCUCAGUGGUAGAGCGCUUGCCUAGCAAGGGCAAGGCCCUGGGUUCAGUCCCCAGCUCCGAAAAAAAGAAAAAAAAGAAAAGAAAAAAAUUUUAAAAAAAAACUUAUUUUAUUUUAUUAUUUAUUUAUUUUUGAAAUAGAGUUUCUCUGUGUAGCCUGGCUGUCCUGGGACUCACUCUCAGUGCUGGGACUAAAGGCAUGUGCCAUACUUCCUGGCUGUAGAGCCUGUCUUUAUGAAAUGUGUCACACGGACCUUACAAAGACCUUUGAUGUAGACACUUCUAAUCCUCAUUUAGCUUACUUUGUUUCUUAAGGAGACUUAUGCGUGCUUUGUUGUGCACCUGGGAUUGAGUUAUCAAAAGGAAAGUUUUCCCGAUGUUCCCCUGUAGUUAAAUAUACCUAAAACAAAUAUCUCAAAAGUCAGACUCUCGGGCUGGAGAGAUGGCUCAGAGGUUAAGAGCACUGUCUGCUCUUCCAGAGGUCAUCAGUUCAAUUCCCAGCAACCACAUGGUGGCUCACAACCAUCUAUAAUGAAAUCUGGUGCCCUCUUCUGGCCUGCACGUGUACAUGCAGGUGGGACGCUGUAUACAUAAUAAAUAAAUCUUUAAAAAAAAAAAAAAAGUCAGACCCUCAACAUUUAAAGCAACAAUGCCUGUUACCUCUGUGUGGAACCAAGCUUCCCUCUUGCCUUCUAAAUACCAUUACAAAGCCAGCUGCGGUGGAAGAAGAGACUUCCGCGGGCUACAUCAUCUCAUUUCCAUAUUGUCCCAGUUGUGGGGACGCCCGUUGGGAAAGCUGAACCCACUGCUAAAGCAACAGGCACCCUAACUUGGGAGCAAAGUCCAAGGCCCUGAGCCAGGCUGCAGUGAGAAGCAGCUAUUGCCUGGUCCAAAGUCUUCUCAGGGUUGUGCUGGAUUCUGCUGAUUCCUAAAACAGGGAGCUCAGGGGUUCAGAGACACCUACCUGCUAGGGACUAGUUGGGGAGAGGCUGCAAGGUGUGAGAUUCCCAAUGUUCUCAAUGCCCUAGAGGCAGGCUAGCCACAGGAAUUUGGCGGAGCCUGGGUUGGUCUAUUGUGGGGGAGGGUCCUAGACCACUUUUCUAGAAAUGUGGAAACUGCAGAAUUGUGUACAGCCAGCCUGGGGAGUUUGUGGUUCUCAAGCUUUUGGGUGAACAAGGUGCCAUCACAGCCCCAGGAGCUGGAAGAAGCUGUACCGGGAUGACAGCGACAGUCAUCUGGCAGUCUCUGAGGCCCAGCCAGAGCCCCAGGCGGCCUAGGAUGUCUCCUCACUAAGUAGCGUUCCUUGACCACUCCCACAGGAGGCGGGGCUAGCGGAGAAAGGGCAGGAAAGUGUUGGCCAGUGCACAAGACUUCUGCACACCUGAGAACCCUCUACAACUGAGCCACCUGGAAGUCGGUGGCAGGUCCCCAUGAGUUAAGAGGUCAGAAGUCGCUGACACCUCUAGGCUUCUGCCUCUCUCUGGCCUAUUCCUGAGCUGUCCUGGGGUCUCUGUACCCUUCUAGAAGGAGUUUAGCAGGGUCUGAUGAAGUUCUACAAUGGCCUGCAACUUACUGUGUAACUGAGGAAGACUUUGAACUUCCAUUCCUCCUGACUGGAUGUCCAAAGUUCUGGGCUUACAAGCGUGACACACCAUACCCAGCUACAGUAUUUUUCCUUAGGACUUAUUGACUGGAACUCACUGUAUAGUCCAGGCUAGCCUCCAGCAUGAAACAAUCUUCUCAAAUCGUCACACUCAGCAAGGUCACCUAUUUUAACGUGCAGCUCUGAUGGCUUUGCAAAUUGCAUACAGUCUGGCAGUCACCUCCACAAACAAGACACAGAAGAAUCUCAUCGUACUCUGUCACCUCCUCUCCCAAAGGCCUCUGGUAACCACUGGUAUGUUUUCUGGUGCUGGAGUAUUAUGGGAUAUCAACCAGAGAAGGUUGCUUGAACAUGGGGUUGAGCCAAUCAAAAGUCUUUAUUAGCCACUGGGUCUUCGGGAACCAGGGGUCACAACCAAGCCAUUCUCGGGGUGAGCUUUUUAACACAAAAGCCAUAUUCUGGGUUGACAUAUUUCACUUAGCAAGAACAGCUAGCCAGAAGUCGAAUUAUCGAAGACAAAAGGCAAGGUUAGUACGUUCAGAGACUUUCCCAGAACUCUGGACUUCGAUGGAUUAGGUCUUUGUUUUCACUGUGGCCAGCUGAGCUGUCUACGUGACUUCCAUUAUGGAGUCAGUCAUGCUAAGGUCUGGGGGUCUAUUAAGGCCUGGGACUCUGUUAAAGAAGGAGGCCAAAGAGGAUACUGAACCUUCUGGAACUGGAGUUCAAAUGGUUGUAAGCCCCCAUAUGAGUUGAACCCAGGUCCUUUGGAAGAACAGCCAGUGCAUGCUUUUAACCGCUGAGCCAUCUCUCCAGCUCUUUCAUGGUUCUCUUCCUCCAGUGCUCUCUUUGUAGCUGUGUCACACACGUAGAAUCACGGUGUGUGGCCCUGAGUCUGGCUACUUUCACCAGCUGACAUUCAUCCAUUACCAGGAGAUCUCAGCUCAGUUCUUUCUUUUUUUUUGGUUCUUUUUUUUUUUUUCCAGAGGUGAACCCAGGGCCUUGCGCUUCCUAGGCAAGCGCUCUACCACUGAGCUAAAUCCCCAACCCCCUCAGCUCAGUUCUUUGUCCAUUCCACACUUCAGGGACAUUUGGAUUGUUUCUGUAUUCUGUCACUUACAACAGAACAACUCUAAACUCUCCUUCAGGGCUGGAGUCCGUAGAGGGCUUCAGCACCACCUAAUCAUGGUGGGAUUGUGCAAGCCUGUCAUCCCAGCACUUAGUAGGGGUAGGUCAAAGAAUCAGAAGUAAAAGUCACCCUCAACUACAUAAUGAGUUGUAACCAACCUCAGAUAGAUGAGGCUCUUUAAAGACUAUAUAUGGGGCUGGAGAGAGGGCUCAGUGGUUAAGAGCACUGACUGCUCUUCCUGAGGUCCUGAGUUCAAUUCCCAGCAACCGCAUGGUGGCUCACAACCAUCUAUAAUGAGAUCUGAUGCCCUCUUCUGGUGUGUCUGAAGACAGCUACAGUGUACUAAAAUAAA
Molecule: non-coding RNA, 5577 nt
Organism: Rattus norvegicus (Norway rat)
Lineage: Eukaryota; Metazoa; Chordata; Mammalia; Rodentia; Muridae
Source: RefSeq, a predicted model, not a curated record